RNAcentral lists this ribosomal RNA (497 nucleotides) under uncultured bacterium. RNAcentral describes it as "partial 16S ribosomal RNA". It matches the Rfam family "Bacterial small subunit ribosomal RNA", at positions 28 to 507 of the family's 1533-position model. The record is from RNAcentral.
GAUGAACGCUGGCGGCGUGCCUAAUACAUGCAAGUCGAGCGAACGGACGAGAAGCUUGCUUUUCUGAUGUUAGCGGCGGACGGGUGAGUAACACGUGGAUAACCUACCUAUAAGACUGGGAUAACUUCGGGAAACCGGAGCUAAUACCGGAUAAUAUUUUGAACCGCAUGGUUCAAAAGUGAAAGACGGUCUUGCUGUCACUUAUAGAUGGAUCCGCGCUGCAUUAGCUAGUUGGUAAGGUAACGGCUUACCAAGGCAACGAUGCAUAACCGACCUGAGAGGGUGAUCGGCCACACUGGAACUGAGACACGGUCCAGACUCCUACGGGAGGCAGCAGUAGGGAAUCUUCCGCAAUGGGCGAAAGCCUGACGGAGCAACGCCGCGUGAGUGAUGAAGGUCUUCGGAUCGUAAAACUCUGUUAUUAGGGAAGAACAUAUGUGUAAGUAACUGUGCACAUCUUGACGGUACCUAAUCAGAAAGCCACGGCUAACUACGUG